Long non-coding RNA from Aptenodytes forsteri (emperor penguin), 582 nucleotides. RefSeq lists it as uncharacterized. The transcript has 2 exons. NCBI's taxonomy places the organism in Eukaryota, Metazoa, Chordata, Aves, Sphenisciformes, Spheniscidae. The record is from RefSeq and is a predicted model, not a curated record.
GUGCGUGAGAGCCUUAUGGAAGAGAACCAUAUUCGCCUACAGUCAUCAAGCUGGUUGAGAACUUCCACCUAUCGAUCUGGGGAUUAUAUUUUCUUUGAAUGCAAGUGGUGGUACCAACAAGUUUCACACCCUGAGAAAUUUAGAGCACAGUGCCUGGAUGGAGUGAUUCAGUAUCCUACAUGUGCAUGGUCAUUGGGAUAAAUGGAAAUGGCAUGAAGGAGCCCAGCUGUGGAAAUGAAAGAUCCCUCAACCGACCCAGUGAUUUGAGCUUAAUUUUUCCUGGCCUUUCCAGUUUCGCUGUGCUUUGUUUGCAGCUUAGCCAACGUUCUGUCUUGGAAUUUGUUGGGUUUUUUUUCUUUUUAUUAUUGGAUGAUUGUGUUUACAUUUUAUCCACAUUUUAUCCAUUUUUGUAAAUGUAUUUACGUUUUGUAAAUGUGUUUACAUUUUAUCCAUCCGAAUGGUUGUGCUUGCAUUUUAUCCAUUCUAUAUUGAUCUCUCUGUUAUUUUUACUAACAACUGUGUCCUGAAAUAGGCUGCCUUUGGUGGCAUACUGAGAGAAGAAUUAAAGCCCACAGGUAAUUU